This 774-nucleotide ribosomal RNA is filed under the name uncultured Neocallimastigales. RNAcentral describes it as "partial large subunit ribosomal RNA". It matches the Rfam family "Eukaryotic large subunit ribosomal RNA", at positions 22 to 644 of the family's 3401-position model. Lineage: Eukaryota; Fungi; Neocallimastigomycota; Neocallimastigomycetes; Neocallimastigales. The record is from RNAcentral.
GUACACGCUGUGACUAGCAUAUCAAUAAGCGGAGGAAAAGAAACUAACAAGGAUUCCCCUAGUAACGGCGAGUGAAGCGGGAAGAGCUCAAAUUUGAAAUCUUAAAGGGUUUCCCUUUACGAAUUGUAGUUUAAAGAAGUGUUUUCUGUUGAGGUUUUGGUAAAAGUUCUUUGGAAUAGGACAUCAUAGAGGGUGAGAAUCCCGUAUUUGACCUUUACUUUCAACUUUGUGAUACACUUUCAAAGAGUCGGAUUGUUUGGGAAUGCAGUCCAAAAUGGGUGGUAAAUUUCAUCUAAAGCUAAAUAUUGGCGAGAGACCGAUAGCGAACAAGUACCGUGAGGGAAAGAUGAAAAGAACUUUGAAAAGAGAGUUAAACAGUACGUGAAAUUGUCAAAAGGGAAGCGUUUGACACCAGUGUUGCUUUUCUGAAAAUCAAUUAAAGAACUGUUUAUGCUAAGUUGUUUAGACUUUAUCAGCUAUCUGUUUAGUUUUGAGCUUUUCCUUAAUGCACUUUUCAGUUAACAAGUCAACAUCAAUUUCUUUUGCUGUAAAAAAGCUUGAGGAAGGUGGCUUGAGAUUCGUCUUAAGUGUUUAUAGCCUCUUGCCUAUGCAGUCGGAGAGAUUGAGGUCUGCAGCGUAGAUCCUUCGGGGCUAAAUGCAUUUGUGCUAAGUUAUAGCAUUUUAUAGACAACUUGUUGACUAUGAUUUGUCUUGUAGCUUACUCGCUUAUGUUAUUUUACCUACGCUUAGGAUGUUGACUGAUAUGUAGUCGUA